AGGCAGAGCUGCAGGAAUCUGGGGCUGGGGACAAGGCAAGGGAGAAGAGGCUGGAGGACGAAAUGAAAAUCAUCAGAGAGAAACUUAACCGGCUCCCUUGGGCUCUGCAAAAGCAAGAGACAAAAGCAACAGCCAUCUCUCCCCUGGCUCCCUCUGCUCCUGGAGAAGAAGCCAAAAAGGAGCAAAAUGAGCAGGAUAACCACAAGCGCCCAGGCGUGGUCACA
Passer montanus (Eurasian tree sparrow) is the source of this 224-nucleotide long non-coding RNA. RefSeq lists it as uncharacterized. NCBI's taxonomy places the organism in Eukaryota, Metazoa, Chordata, Aves, Passeriformes, Passeridae. The transcript has 3 exons. The record is from RefSeq and is a predicted model, not a curated record.